GAUCUGGUAGCAUAAUGGUUAGUGCAUCUGCUUCAAAUGACAAUGUCUGGAUCUUAUCGGCGGAAGGUCCCCGUUCGAUUCGGGGUCAGGUCA
Molecule: non-coding RNA, 93 nt
Organism: Mycena latifolia
Lineage: Eukaryota; Fungi; Basidiomycota; Agaricomycetes; Agaricales; Mycenaceae
Source: the annotation of a GenBank genome assembly